CCUACGGGUGGCAGCAGUGAGGAAUAUUGGUCAAUGGACGAGAGUCUGAACCAGCCAAGUAGCGUGAAGGAUGACUGCCCUAUGGGUUGUAAACUUCUUUUAUAUGGGAAUAAAAUGUUCCACGUGUGGGCUUUUGUAUGUACCAUAUGAAUAAGGAUCGGCUAACUCCGUGCCAGCAGCCGCGGUAAUACGGAGGAUCCGAGCGUUAUCCGGAUUUAUUGGGUUUAAAGGGAGCGUAGAUGGGUUGUUAAGUCAGUUGUGAAAGUUUGCGGCUCAACCGUAAAAUUGCAAUUGAUACUGGCAGUCUUGAGUACAGUUGAGGUAGGCGGAAUUCGUGGUGUAGCGGUGAAAUGCUUAGAUAUCACGAAGAACUCCGAUUGCGAAGGCAGCUUACUAAACUGCCACUGACAUUGAUGCUCGAAAGUGUGGGUAUCAAACAGGAUUAGAUACCCCUGUAGUC
RNAcentral lists this ribosomal RNA (460 nucleotides) under uncultured bacterium. Its description in RNAcentral is "partial 16S ribosomal RNA". It matches the Rfam family "Bacterial small subunit ribosomal RNA", at positions 338 to 795 of the family's 1533-position model. The record is from RNAcentral.